CCAUGAGCACCGCAUGGAGCUCAUGCCAAAUAUCCUUUCGGGGAUAGCGCAGGGAUGGACCUAUGGCGCAUUAGCUGGUUGGCGGGGCAACGGCCCACCAAGGCAACGAUGCGUAGCCGGCCUGAGAGGGCGGACGGCCACAUUGGGACUGAGACACGGCCCAGACUCCUACGGGAGGCAGCAGUAGGGAAUUUUCGGCAAUGGGGGAAACCCUGACCGAGCAACGCCGCGUGAGCGAGGAAGGCCCUCGGGUCGUAAAGCUCUGUUGUAAAGGAAGAACGGCGCAUACAGGAAAUGGUAUGCGAGUGACGGUACUUUACCAGAAAGCCACGGCUAACUACGUGCCAGCAGCCGCGGUAAUACGUAGGUGGCGAGCGUUAUCCGGAAUCAUUGGGCGUAAAGAGGGAGCAGGCGGCCGCAAGGGUCUGUGGUGAAAGACCGAAGCUAAACUUCGGUAAGCCAUGGAAACCGGGCGGCUAGAGUGCGGAAGAGGAUCGUGGAAUUCCAUGUGUAGCGGUGAAAUGCGUAGAUAUAUGGAGGAACACCAGUGGCGAAGGCGACGGUCUGGGCCGCAACUGACGCUCAUUCCCGAAAGCGUGGGGAGCAAAUAGGAUUAGAUACCCU
RNAcentral lists this ribosomal RNA (624 nucleotides) under uncultured bacterium. Its description in RNAcentral is "bacterial SSU rRNA". It matches the Rfam family "Bacterial small subunit ribosomal RNA", at positions 173 to 788 of the family's 1533-position model. The record is from RNAcentral.